Non-coding RNA from Caenorhabditis elegans, 21 nucleotides. The record is from Ensembl. Lineage: Eukaryota; Metazoa; Nematoda; Chromadorea; Rhabditida; Rhabditidae.
UGUUAUGAUUUAGUAGUAACA